CGAGAAAAGCCCUUCGCUAUAACGCACCUCACCGAGACAAGCCCCUCGCUAUAACGCACCUCAUCGAGAAAAGCCCGAUUUUAGGUACCUCAAUGUUUAUUCUGUUUAUUAAUGACUUACCACUUGAAGUCUCCAACAGCGCACUCGAGAUAUAUGCAGAUGAUACAACACAAGUCGCAAGUGGAAGUAGCGUUAGUGAGGUUGAGUCUAUUCUUACUGAAGAGCUAAAAAAGGUGAAUGGAUGGGCGAAUGAAAACAAAAUGGUUUUGAACCAAAGUAAAACCAAAUCAAUGCUUAUCUGUAGCAAGCCAAAGUUGCGCAAAUUGGCAGGAAAGGAUUUGACAGUCAGCACCGAAAAUGGCUAGCUUGAAUGUGUCAAUGAAGUUAAACUGCUUAGCAUAAGAUUAGACAACUUCUUAACCUGGGACAACCACCUCAAGUACAUUCACAAUAAGAUCUCCAAGCGACUAGGCUUGUUAAAAAGGACAAAGAAAUUCCUGUCACUUUAAACAAGAACCCUGUUCUACCAUUCGCUUAUACAGCCAAUAUUAGACUAUGGUGCUAUCGUCUGGGGCUCGACCAAAAAACAUCACAUCGACGAUAUGAUCAAGUUCCAGAAACGAUGUGCGCGGGUUAUCCUCGAUAAGAAAUGGGAUGCACCCUUAAAACCACUUUUUGAAGAACUAAAUAUUAGAAUAUUGUCCCCUUCGACAAAAGAAUAAUCUACCUACAACCUACAACACGCACGCGCACUAUAAAAGGGGGCAAAACUGGUGAGCUCCGAAAAAUCUGUCAAUCAAAUCAGUUGAGUCAAGACUUCAAAGCGUGCGGACGUGUUUCACGGAGCUCCCGACAAACCAGAAAAUGAGUCGAGCUACAGUUCAAACCUAUCCAAGAAAGUUUGGAGCUCAAGUCCCAAUUCUGCAUCUCCUCAAACCACUACUACCAGCUUUCCACUACCAGUACAAUGCUAAUAUUUGUUUAUUGUAAAUCCCUGGAUUAGGCAUGAUCAAGUGUGCUUUACAUGCACAGACUGAUCUAUGCAGUUUACAAUAUCAUGAAGGGAGUAUAUAAGCACAGUACCUGAAGAUUUUCCCAAAAUAAACAGUGUAAUUCAGUGUAAAUAAAAGCAUGAAAACAUUAAUAAAAACUACUUGUUUUUUGAGUUGAUAAAGCAGCAUGCCUAUAGUCAUCCUCACAUUGUAUCAUAUAUGAACCAGCACUGAUGACAGAGCAUUACAAAAUAUGUCCUAGUCAAUUGGUAUCCUACUGAAGGCAGUCUCAAGGAGGAAGAUGUGAAGUGAAGGCUUAUCCAGAUUAUGAGAGCCAUGGGAAUGUUAGCUUGUAUUUUCAAGAAUGCAUCUUUAUUUUAUUAUCUGCAUUUCCUAAUAUUGGAUGAAAAUCCCAAUUCCAAGCAGGAGAGAUAGGGGUAUGGGGGCCUGUUUCCUUUCUCAAAAUAUAGGAAUCAGAAAACCCUUGUUGUAUAGAUUGUUUGUUGUUUCAUCUUUUGUAAAUGUUUUCACAAUGAUGGAAAAAUAAACUGCAUGGUUAGGAAAA
Molecule: long non-coding RNA, 1557 nt
Organism: Nematostella vectensis (starlet sea anemone)
Lineage: Eukaryota; Metazoa; Cnidaria; Anthozoa; Actiniaria; Edwardsiidae
Exons: 2
Source: RefSeq, a predicted model, not a curated record